Molecule: ribosomal RNA, 253 nt
Filed under: uncultured bacterium
Lineage: Bacteria
Description: partial 16S ribosomal RNA
Rfam family: Bacterial small subunit ribosomal RNA
Source: RNAcentral
UACGUAGGGCGCAAGCGUUAUCCGGAAUUAUUGGGCGUAAAGAGCUCGUAGGCGGUUUGUCGCGUCUGCCGUGAAAGUCCGGGGCUCAACCCCGGGCUUGCAGUGGAUACGGGCUGGCUAGAGGCAGGCAGGGGAGAACGGAAUUCCCGGUGUAGCGGUGAAAUGCGCAGAUAUCGGGAGGAACACCGGUGGCGAAGGCGGUUCUCUGGGCCUGUACUGACGCUGAGGAGCGAAAGCGUGGGGAGCGAACAGG